GUCGAAAGACGAAGGCUAAGCUAGGGUAUUUCAUUACCCAACAGUAGGAGCUGAUUCGUGAGUUCGCCUCACUCAGUUUAGAGAUUGUUUAUUCCCCAGAUUCAGUAUCGGGUUGUGUAGCUGUGCUGACAGCUAAACCUGAUUUGAGAGAAAGAAUUUUGCAAGCACAAAGAGAAGAUUGGUUCUUGAAGAAGAUGCGUCUCGCUGCAUGAACGAAUGAAACGAAAAGAUUAACUGAAGCAAAGGAUAAUACACUUGUGGUUGGUGAAAGAUUGUGUGUGCCGCACAAUGAAGAGUUAAAGAACGAGAUUAUGAGCGAAGCUCAUGAUACUCCAUACACUGCACACCCAGGCAGUACAAAGAUGCACCAGAAUUUAAAGAAAAUUUUCUGAUGAACAGGAAUGAAAAGAGAUAGUACGCCUUCACGGUGUACCUGUAUCUAUCACGUCAGAUCGUGACACCAGAUUCACAUCGCGUUUCUGGAAAAGUUUACAAGAAGCAAUGGGCACUCAGCUGAAUUUCAGCACAGCAUACCAUCCUCAGACUGACUGACAGUCAGAAAGAACGAUUCAGAUUCUAAAAUUUUCGUUGCGAACAAUUAUCGCAGACAAAGGUAGAAGUUAGGAGAAUUUGUUACCUCUCGAAGAAUUUGCUUAUAACAACAGUUAUCAAGCAACAUUUGGAAUAAUCCAGAUGAGGUCUUGUAUAGCCGAAAAUGUAGUUCACCACUUUACUAAGAUGAAGUGGGUGAAAGAAAGCUGUUAGGUCCUGAACUGGUCCAACAGAUGGUUGAGAAGGUCGACCACAUCAAGCAAAGAAUCAAAGAAGCUCAAGAUAGACAAAAGUCUUACGCCGAUAAACGCCGAUCGGAGUUAGAAUUCAAUGUUGGGGAUCGAGUUUUCCUCAAAAGUUUCUCACUCAAAGGGAGUUAUACGUUUCAGAAAGAGGGGCAAGUUACGACCCUGUUAUAUAGGACCUUUUGAGAUCCUAGAUAAGAUAGGCCCUGUAGCCUAUAGGUUGGCAUUGCCGCCCAGUAUUGGAGACAUACACAAUGUGUUUCAUGUCUCUCAGUUAAGAAAGUAUGUGUUUAAUCCAAAGCAUUUGAUUAAGCCAGAUAAAGUAGUCCUAGCCAGGACUAAAGUUAUGAAGAGAAACCAGUCCAGAUACUUGAUCGCAAGGUUCAAGUUUUACGAGGCAAUAAUAUUGUUCUCGUCAUGUAGUGGAACCAUCACAAGAUGGAAAAGGCCACAAAAGAGAUGAAUGAAACAAAUGACUAGUAUCACAAGCUAGAAUACCAGACAUGCAAUUCCGAGGACGGAAUUUUUUUUAAGGAGGGAGAGAUGUAAUACCCCGUUUCCCCGAGCUAAAUUUAGAAUUUAUUUUCGAACUUAGAUUUAAGAUGAUUCACGCCGGAUUGAGAAAAAGAAUUUAUUUUAAUUCCAACAAAAAUGAUUUUCAAAAGUUUUGAAAAUUUGAGUUAUUUAAUUUCAUUGAAUUUAUAUGCAUUGCAUAUUUAUUUAAAUUAGCAUUUAAGUAUUUUCACGAGCUAUUUAAUUAGCAAACCCUGAAGAAUUUCUACAGUUUCGACAAUUUUAUCCUGAAGGAUUUUAAUUGUCCAAUAAACACUCAUAUCCUACUCUCCCAUCAGCCACCCAUCAGCCACCUUAUAGCCAGCUAAAAGCAAGCAUCCCACACCCACCUACUCCUUUCUUUUUGAAAAGUCAACAUCACCACCCACUUCCACCACCAACAUCACCAUCAAUCCUCUGCACUAUACCUAUUACAGCACACUCCAUGCUUCUAAAAAUUCAUUGACAUACUUUAGUCAUUCUCAUCCAUUUCAUCACAAUCCCUCACGCAAUUCAUCAUCUUUCACUCUCACAAGAAACACCAAGACAAAGCGGCCAAACAAAUUCAAGCAAACCGACCCAACCGAAAUCUUUCUAAAAGGCUUUGUGACCAGGGGGAUUAGCGCUGCUUUCCCAAGACAUGUUUUUAUGUGUAUGAUCUUCAGGCUUUGCCUAUCCAGGUGGGCUUACUUUCCAAAUGUACAAAGUAUGAUUGAGUUAUUAAGCUCUAAAUGUUUCAAUGAAAUGCAAAUUGUUUAUUUAAUGUAAUGAAAACUGUUUAUCCAAUAAAAUGUUUAUGUGCACUCUGCUCUGUUUAAGGCUCGCGCAGUUAAUCAAUUGAGGUUCUCUUAUGACCUAAUACGUUAUUUGAGAAUUGUGUACACUUGUUAGUUGACUCGGUGGGUUGAUCUCCAUCGGGCUCUAACCAGAGGCGUUAUAAGGGUGCUCGGCUGGAUGUGUUCCGGAGCAUGAGAAAUAUCAGGCCUGCCUGGGUAGCGUCCCGAGGUCAAAGUAAACUUGUCUGGGUUACGCCCUCAGUUCAAGUAAGCAGGAGACAGAGAUCCGUCGGUGGCUAAAAGGUCCGGGAUCACAGCGAGUAACAGAAAGGGAGUGUGACAUGUGCGCACAAAUGAAAGAAAAUGUUUUAACAUGCUUAGAAGUACUUCUUUCAAUUUAAAACCUUCUAAGUCAUGUCAAGUAUGAUUGGAUAAACUGUCUUUAAGAAAAUAAUGAAAUGUUUAUGAAAAUGCAUGCCCACUAAGUACAUUAGUACUUAGCCCAAAAAUACUUUCAAAUGUUUUCAGGUUGGCUGGCCGGUGCUGACGGGACGGAGCUGAGGCUAGAGAUAAAUUCCUAUGUUAGACUUCCGCUGUAGCAAUUACUCAUAUCAGUCUUUUGUUUUCCCAACUUAAGAUCUUCAUGUUAAAUUUCAAAUGAUAUAUCUGACCGAGCUUAGACUCUUCACUACUUAAUUUAUGCCAAUGAAUGUCGGUUGUCAGAA
Long non-coding RNA from Salvia miltiorrhiza (redroot sage), 2850 nucleotides. RefSeq lists it as uncharacterized. The record is from RefSeq and is a predicted model, not a curated record. The transcript is spliced from 3 exons. Lineage: Eukaryota; Viridiplantae; Streptophyta; Magnoliopsida; Lamiales; Lamiaceae.